RNAcentral lists this ribosomal RNA (788 nucleotides) under Phellinotus piptadeniae. RNAcentral describes it as "partial large subunit ribosomal RNA". It matches the Rfam family "Eukaryotic large subunit ribosomal RNA", at positions 112 to 890 of the family's 3401-position model. The record is from RNAcentral. Lineage: Eukaryota; Fungi; Basidiomycota; Agaricomycetes; Hymenochaetales; Hymenochaetaceae.
AAUUUGAUCUGGCGCGCCUUCGCUGUCUUGUGUACCUGUAGUCGAGGAUGCUUUUCCGUAGUUGGUCAACCUUACUGCCUAGGGGCUGGUCCGCCGUGAGGGGUGGGAGUCCCGCUCGAGCUGGGAUGGCAUGCCAUUUGUGGGCUCCCCCCUAAGAAUGAUGUUUUUUGAAUGCUGGCUGAAUAAGGGUGGUGCUGUUCAUUCAAAGCUUAAUACUAGUGCGAGUGCCCAAUAGCGGACAAUUACCGUAAGGAAAAACUGAAAAGCACUUCGAUUGGGGAGCUAAAAGGGCAUGAAAUCCGUCAAACGUGAGCGUGAUGACUUGGGCUAGCCGAAGGGUACUGAGGGUGCUUCCCGUUGAAAGUACUUACUAGAGCACAGUGGGUAUGCAAUGUCUAGGGACGCUGCAGUGAUCACUGUGUGGGACUCCCUUACCCAAUGGGUUUUGUCAGACUAUAUGGAAGGCAUUAACGUGAGCCCUUAGCCGCCCGCCCCUCAACCUGGGUAAAACCACCAUUGGGGGGACCGUGCUAGAGCCUAUGAUUCACACCCGUCUUGAAACACGGACCAAGGAGUCUAACGUACAUGCAAGUCGAACGGCGUUAAACCGAACGGCGACCCUAAUGCAAAAAGCAUGAGGGAAACCGCAAUGCUCUCGACUAGCCUUGAUCUUCGGGUCUCGGAUUGGAGUUUGAGCAUGUCAUGUUAGGUCCCGAAAAACGACGAGCUAUGCUUGGGGUAGGUUGAAGCCAGGAGAAAUCUUGGUGGAAGAUCGCAGCGGUUCUGAC